This 450-nucleotide ribosomal RNA is filed under the name uncultured bacterium. RNAcentral describes it as "bacterial SSU rRNA". It matches the Rfam family "Bacterial small subunit ribosomal RNA", at positions 354 to 796 of the family's 1533-position model. The record is from RNAcentral.
GUGGGGAAUUUUGGACAAUGGGGGCAACCCUGAUCCAGCCAUGCCGCGUGUGCGAAGAAGGCCUUCGGGUUGUAAAGCACUUUCGGCGGGAACGAAAACGCCCUUCCUAAUACGAGGGGUGCAUGACGGUACUCGUAGAAGAAGCACCGGCUAACUACGUGCCAGCAGCCGCGGUAAUACGUAGGGUGCGAGCGUUAAUCGGAAUUACUGGGCGUAAAGGGUGCGCAGGCGGUUCGCUAAGACAGGCGUGAAAGCCCCGGGCUUAACCUGGGAGGUGCGCUUGUGACUGGCGGACUAGAGUGCGGCAGAGGGGGGUGGAAUUCCACGUGUAGCAGUGAAAUGCGUAGAGAUGUGGAGGAACACCGAUGGCGAAGGCAGCCCCCUGGGCUAGCACUGACGCUCAGGCACGAAAGCGUGGGGAGCAAACAGGAUUAGAUACCCCUGUAGUCC